CGGUCGGUUUGGGGUUAUCCAUCCUACGGCACAAUGUGCGAGAGACAUUUGUCUCUGACGCGCUUUCUCCGUCGAAGAUUCCUUCUUUGAUCGAUCAAAGAGAGAAGAGAAUCUCUGUGAGAUAUAUACACAGAGGAAAGAGACAAAAAUCCUUUUGAUCUCCAAAACAGAGAAUAAUUCUCUUCAUACACAGAGACACAGAGAUGCAAACCAUCUCCAAAGCUUCUUCUGCUAUCUCCUUCUUUCGAUGUUCCAGGAAGCUAACAAGUGAGCCAUGUGUGAGGCAGCUUCACAUCCGAAAGGGUCUCGUCUGCAGAGUCAUGAAGCUUGUCUCUUCACCUCUUAGGACUCUCCGCGGUGCUGGCAAAUCUAUUCGAGUCUCCAGUUUCUGCAGUGUCUCCUCCAAUCCCUCCUCAUUGCAGAUUGAGAUGGUGCCUUGUCUUAAAGACAACUACGCUUACAUUUUGCAUGAUGAGGAUACUGGCACAGUUGGGGUGGUUGACCCUUCUGAAGCUGAACCUGUGAUUGAUUCUUUGCAGAGGAGUGGUCGUAACCUAACGUAUAUAUUGAAUACGCAUCAUCAUUAUGAUCAUACUGGUGGGAAUCUUGAAUUGAAAGACAGGUACGGUGCAAAGGUGAUUGGCUCAGCUUUAGAUAGAGAUCGGAUACCUGGGAUUGAUAUAGCCUUGAAGGAUGGUGAAAAGUGGAUGUUUGCUGGUCAUGAAGUCCAUGUUAUGGAUACUCCUGGCCACACAAAAGGCCAUAUCAGUUUAUACUUUCCAGGAUCAAGAGCUAUCUUCUCUGGGGACACCUUGUUUAGCUUAUCAUGUGGUAAACUCUUUGAAGGUACCCCUAAGCAGAUGCUUGCUUCUCUCAAAAAGAUCAUAUCUUUACCAGAUGACACAAGCAUAUACUGUGGUCAUGAAUACACACUGAGUAACUCCAAGUUUGCAUUGUCUAUAGAGCCAAACAACGAAGUACUUCAGUCUAGCACUGUCAAAUGGUCACCCGGCCCAUGGGCUUGACCAGUCCAAACUGUAAUGGGCGGCCCAUGGUUACAACCAAAUCACAAAUGGUCCAACUGGGCCUAAAACCCAUUUCACCCAUGGACAAUUUGGUCCUGCCCAAAUGGGCUUCGGUCUGCCCAAAUGGUUUUUUAUUUUAUUUUGGGCCUAAAAUCACUAUGAUUUUUCUUCUCGCCUUCUCGUCUGAGUCGUCUCGAUGACGAUUCUUCUCCACCGUUCUCUCCUUUCAACGAUUUCUCAGUAACCCUCGGCGGCGAACGUCUCGAAAUCUCCGGCGAACCUCUCGAAACCCUCGGCGGCCACGACCCUCUCCAUCUCCGACGAACCUCUUGAAGUAACCGGAUCGCAUCUCACACGCUCAUCUCCUCUCCGGCUCUCUCUCCUCUCCGGCUCUCUCUCCGUUUCUCCAGCUCGAUCUCCUCUCCGGCUCUCUCUCUCUCCGUUUCUCCGGCUCGAUCUCCUCUCCGGCUCUCUCUCCGUUUCUCCGGCUCGAUCUCUUCUCCGGCUCUCUCUCCGUUUCUCCGGCUCGAUCUCCUCUCCGGCUCUCUCUCCGUUUCUCCGGCUCUCUCUCCGUUUCUCAAAUUCCAACAACACUGAAGAUGGAGAAAGCUUGUAACCCAUUCCUCCGCAGUUCGAAUACAGAUAUUCGUCGAGCUUUAGGUAUUUCAGAGACUGCAGAUGAAGCAGAAGCUUUGGCUAUUAUCCGAGAAGCAAAGGAUAAUUUCAAAGCUUAGGCUUUUUCUCCUGAGGCAAUUCUUUGGUUUGCAUCUGUUUCCUCCGACAAAAACAAAAAGACAGAGAGA
Raphanus sativus (radish) is the source of this 1828-nucleotide RNA transcript. It is a transcript of the gene named hydroxyacylglutathione hydrolase 2, mitochondrial, with no coding region annotated. Lineage: Eukaryota; Viridiplantae; Streptophyta; Magnoliopsida; Brassicales; Brassicaceae. The transcript is spliced from 8 exons. The record is from RefSeq and is a predicted model, not a curated record.